AGGCAAGUCUCACACGACUAGCUCCUGUUGAAUCCCCCAGGAUGGGAACAUAGCAAGGGUAAACGGUUGUAGCGGUGCGAUGUGAGUAGCUUGCCUUAU
Molecule: signal recognition particle RNA, 99 nt
Filed under: Flavobacteriales bacterium
Lineage: Bacteria; Pseudomonadati; Bacteroidota; Flavobacteriia; Flavobacteriales
Description: signal recognition particle sRNA small type
Rfam family: Bacteroidales small SRP
About the family: The non-coding component of the signal recognition particle in Bacteroides
Source: RNAcentral